This 442-nucleotide ribosomal RNA is filed under the name uncultured bacterium. RNAcentral's name for it is "partial 16S ribosomal RNA". It matches the Rfam family "Bacterial small subunit ribosomal RNA", at positions 338 to 795 of the family's 1533-position model. The record is from RNAcentral.
CCUACGGGAGGCAGCAGUGGGGAAUAUUGGGCAAUGGGCGCAAGCCUGACCCAGCAACGCCGCGUGAAGGAAGAAGGCUUUCGGGUUGUCAACUUCUUUUUAGAGGGAAGAGCAGAAGACGGUACCUCUUGAAUAAGCUACGGCUAACUACGUGCCAGCAGCCGCGUUAAUACGUAGGUGCCAAGCGUUGUCCGGAUUUACUGGGUGUAACGGGCGUGCAGCCGGGAAGACAAGUCAGGUGUGAAAUCCCGCGGCUCAACCGCGGAACUGCAUUUGAAACUGUUUUUCUUGAGUACCGGAGAGGUCAGCGGAAUUCCUGGUGUAGCGGUGAAAUGCGUAGAUAUAAGGAAGAACACCAGUGGCGAAGGCGGAUGACUAGACGGCAACUGACGGUGAGGCGCGAAAGCGUGGGGAGCAAACAGGAUUAGAUACCCCAGUAGUC